Long non-coding RNA from Haliotis rubra (blacklip abalone), 551 nucleotides. RefSeq lists it as uncharacterized. The record is from RefSeq and is a predicted model, not a curated record. Lineage: Eukaryota; Metazoa; Mollusca; Gastropoda; Lepetellida; Haliotidae. The transcript is spliced from 2 exons.
AACGUUGACAUGUUCCUCAUCAACCAGGAAUAGUUACAAUCUAGUCGUAUUGUUCAACUGUGACACAGAACCAUCCUUCUUGUACUUUAUGUAGGCGUGAUGAACGUUGACAUGUUCCUCAUCAACCAGGAAUAGUUACAAUCUAGUCGAAUUGUUCAACUGUGACACAGAACCAUCCUUCUUGUACUUUAUGUAGGCGUGAUGAACGUUGACAUGUUCCUCAUCAACCAGGAAUAGUUACAAUCUAGUCGUAUUGUUCAACUGUGACACAGAACCAUCCUUCUUGUACUUUAUGUAGGCGUGAUGAACGUUGACAUGUUCCUCAUCAACCAGGAAUAGUUACAAUCUAGUCGUAUUGUUCAACUGUGACACAGAACCAUCCUUCUUGUACUUUAUGUAGGCGUGAUGAACGUUGACAUGUUCCUCAUCAACCAGGAAUAGUUACAAUCUAGUCGUAUUGUUCAACUGUGACACAGAACCAUUCUUUUCGUGAGUGAUUUAAUAUACACUGUCAGACCAAAUCAACAUGAAAUGUUCCUCAUGAACCAGAA